CCUACGAUAUCAGUGAUGAUAUCGAUUUCUGUUUCAAGCUGGCAAAAGAGGAAUCUGUGAUCAUUCUUCCUGGAACUGCUGUGGGGCUAAAAGAUUGGCUCCGAAUAACUUUUGCUGCUGAGAAUACUCCCUCGAGGAAGCGUUAGGCAGGGUAAAAUCUUUCUGUGAAAGGCAUGCCAAGCAAUUGGAAGUAUAUUAGAAAGCUCAAGUCAGUCAAUAAGAAUGCUAUUAAUCAACCUAUUCGAAUCCUUGCCAUGGCUAAUUGUUACAAAGACAAUAGUAUUUAUCCAGUGGGUUCAUUUAUGUUGUUAUA
Pistacia vera is the source of this 313-nucleotide long non-coding RNA. RefSeq lists it as uncharacterized. Lineage: Eukaryota; Viridiplantae; Streptophyta; Magnoliopsida; Sapindales; Anacardiaceae. The transcript has 2 exons. The record is from RefSeq and is a predicted model, not a curated record.